AGGAGUGAAGCUCAGUCAUUUCACAAACGCAGACAGCACUCGGGCUCCGUCUCUGUUCAGCACAAUGAGGCUUUCAUCCGCUCUCCUAUUGCUGGCUGCUGUUUCUUAUGUCCGAUCCAGUAUUGUACUGACCCAGUCCGGCGCGGCAGUCAAGAAACCGGGAGACUCUCAUGACUUGAAAUGUGCUGUCAGUGGGUUCACUCUCAGUAGCACUAAUAUGUACUGGAUUCGACAGGCUCCUGGAAAAGCACUAGAGUGGAUAGUUUACUAUUACUCACCUACUGACAAGAGCUAUGCCUCAGUCGUCCAAGGAAGAUUCACCGCCUCAAAGGACAGCUCCAAUUUCUACUUACACAUGACAAGCCUGAAAGCUGAAGACACAGCCGUGUAUUACUGUGCUCGGAGACACACUGAGAAGAACUCAUGCUGAACCCACACACAAACUAUGAAAGCAGGACUCCUUACACAGCAUUAGCAUUUUUCACAUUGUUUAAUAGGGUAGUGCACCCUUUGAAUAUGAAAAAUGUCAUGGUAAUAUAUAUUAUACAUUUCUGGUUACAAAAACAACACACCACCCGCUCUUGAAUGAAUGUAGGUCUGGCUGGUUGAUUGACAACAUUUUUUCAGGGAUUUUUGCAUCCUAUUUUCAUCGUCACCUACCUAAUUAAACUAAUAACGUGUGGAUUGACAGAUCUAUCAAACAUUCGGGGUCCCGGGGGUCCGUUUACCAAAAAAUAUACUUGAAUCAAACCAACAUGGUAAGGCCAUCGUAAAAUGAACGUAGCUCUUGAACGUCUGCUUGAGUUCAAGAGCGGUCUGAGGUAAUCGUGAAGUGUUCACAGGGCCGCCAAGAGCCGGAUUGAUAUGUCCCGCUCAGCACCCCUUCCCUCUCUCCCCCCCCCCUUAACAUCAUACGUUUUUAGCAUAAACUACAUUUUAAUGGUGUUGCUAUAGACUGUUUUAUUUAUCCCGUGCCAAAAAUAAACCACUCAUCUCUGCUCUUAACUAAUAGCCUGUAUUGGUAAAUAUGUUUGUAUUUUAAGCAAUAUAAUCGAUCAUUCUCUAAUUGUGUUUACCACCAGCUGAAGAAAGUACUUUAUUUAUUUUACACGAUACAAUUUUUCUAACAAUUUACUGCACCACGUUGUUUUGAGCAAAUUAUAGAUCUUAAUAAUAGAAUCAUUCAUACUGUUGAUAUAUAUUGUGCAACUUUAGGGUUCUUUAAAGUUUUUAAAAGUCUUUAAAAAAAAAAUACAUAAAAUUGUUAUGCCUUUUUUUCAGUUUUUUGGUGUAGUAAAAUAUGAAAUGCGAAAGUUCAAAUCAUUGAGUGAAAGGAAGUGUUUGACAGCGCCUGGAUACACAGUCAUUACACAACAGAAGCACAUCGGCUCGGUGUGCAGUACGGCAGUUUUUCUUUUUAAUGUGGUGGUGGGAACGCAAAGGGUCUUGUGCAGGGCUAGUUGUUUUAAAAUAU
Molecule: non-coding RNA, 1474 nt
Organism: Acipenser ruthenus (sterlet)
Lineage: Eukaryota; Metazoa; Chordata; Actinopteri; Acipenseriformes; Acipenseridae
Source: the annotation of a RefSeq genome assembly